Molecule: transfer RNA, 74 nt
Filed under: Goggia lineata
Lineage: Eukaryota; Metazoa; Chordata; Lepidosauria; Squamata; Gekkonidae
Description: tRNA-Tyr
Source: RNAcentral
CCUGGUAGCAAGUACUAUAGUACUGUCUGCGAGGCUACAACUCGCCGCUUACUCUCUCUCUCAGCCAUACUACC